GUGGGGAAUAUUGGACAAUGGGCGAAAGCCUGAUCCAGCCAUGCCGCGUGUGUGAAGAAGGUCUUCGGAUUGUAAAGCACUUUAAGUUGAGAGGAAGGGCAGUAAGUUAAUACCUUGCUGUUUUGACGUUACCAACAGAAUAAGCACCGGCUAACUUCGUGCCAGCAGCCGCGGUAAUACGAAGGGUGCAAGCGUUAAUCGGAAUUACUGGGCGUAAAGCGCGCGUAGGUGGUUCAGCAAGUUGAAGGUGAAAUCCCCGGGCUCAACCUGGGAACUGCCUCCAAAACUACUGAGCUAGAGUACGGUAGAGGGUAGUGGAAUUUCCUGUGUAGCGGUGAAAUGCGUAGAUAUAGGAAGGAACACCAGUGGCGAAGGCGACUACCUGGACUGAUACUGACACUGAGGUGCGAAAGCGUGGGGAGCAAACAGGAUUAGAUACCCUAGUAGUCC
Molecule: ribosomal RNA, 450 nt
Filed under: uncultured bacterium
Lineage: Bacteria
Description: partial 16S ribosomal RNA
Rfam family: Bacterial small subunit ribosomal RNA
Source: RNAcentral